UCCUUGGUGGUCUAGUGGUUAAGACUCUGCACUCCCAAUGAAGGGAGCCUGGGUUCAGUCCCUGGUCAAGGAA
Molecule: non-coding RNA, 73 nt
Organism: Bos taurus (domestic cattle)
Lineage: Eukaryota; Metazoa; Chordata; Mammalia; Artiodactyla; Bovidae
Source: Rfam